UAGCUCAGUCGGUAAAAGAAUCUGCCUGCGAUGCAGGAUACCCAGGUUCGAUUCCUGG
Molecule: transfer RNA, 58 nt
Filed under: Ovis aries (sheep)
Lineage: Eukaryota; Metazoa; Chordata; Mammalia; Artiodactyla; Bovidae
Rfam family: tRNA
About the family: Transfer RNA (tRNA) molecules are approximately 80 nucleotides in length. Their secondary structure includes four short double-helical elements and three loops (D, anti-codon, and T loops).
Source: Rfam by way of RNAcentral